AUUGAACGCUGGCGGCAGGCCUAACACAUGCAAGUCGAGCGGAUGAAGGGAGCUUGCUCCUGGAUUCAGCGGCGGACGGGUGAGUAAUGCCUAGGAAUCUGCCUGUUAGUGGGGGAUAACGUCCGGAAACGGGCGCUAAUACCGCAUACGUCCUGAGGGAGAAAGUGGGGGAUCUUCGGACCCCACGCUAUCAGAUGAGCCUAGGUCGGAUUAGCUAGUUGGUGGGGUAAAGGCCUACCAAGGCGACGAUCCGUAACUGGUCUGAGAGGAUGAUCAGUCACACUGUAACUGAGACACGGUCCCGACUCCUACGGGAGGCAGCAGUGGGGAAUAUUGGACAAUGGGCGAAAGCCUGAUCCAGCCAUGCCGCGUGUGUGAAGAAGGUCUUCGGAUUGUAAAGCACUUUAAGUUGGGAGGAAGGGCAGUAAGUUAAUACCUUGCUGUUUUGACGUUACCAACAGAAUAAGCACCGGCUAACUUCGUG
Molecule: ribosomal RNA, 484 nt
Filed under: uncultured bacterium
Lineage: Bacteria
Description: partial 16S ribosomal RNA
Rfam family: Bacterial small subunit ribosomal RNA
Source: RNAcentral